AGCAACGCCGCGUGAGUGAAGAAGGCUUUCGGGUUGUAAAACUCUGUCUUCAGGGAAGAAAAAAAUGACGGUACCUGUAGGAGGAAGCCCCGGCUAACUACGUGCCAGCAGCCGCGGUAAUAC
RNAcentral lists this ribosomal RNA (123 nucleotides) under uncultured bacterium. RNAcentral's name for it is "partial 16S ribosomal RNA". It matches the Rfam family "Bacterial small subunit ribosomal RNA", at positions 390 to 526 of the family's 1533-position model. The record is from RNAcentral.